RNAcentral lists this ribosomal RNA (241 nucleotides) under Bacillus sp. 127B_4D. Its description in RNAcentral is "partial 16S ribosomal RNA". It matches the Rfam family "Bacterial small subunit ribosomal RNA", at positions 128 to 357 of the family's 1533-position model. The record is from RNAcentral. Lineage: Bacteria; Bacillati; Bacillota; Bacilli; Caryophanales; Bacillaceae.
GCCGGUAAUACUGGGAUAACUUCGGGAAACCGGAGCUAAUACCGGAUAAUAUAAGGAACCUCCUGGUUCUUUAUUGAAAGAUGGUUUCGGCUAUCACUUACAGAUGGGCCCGCGGCGCAUUAGCUAGUUGGUGAGGUAAUGGCUCACCAAGGCGACGAUGCGUAGCCGACCUGAGAGGGUGAUCGGCCACACUGGGACUGAGACACGGCCCAGACUCCUACGGGAGGCAGCAGUGGUCAUA